AAGGAAACAGAUACUCAAGACCUAACAGUAUUCUAUCCAAGAUGCCACAAGAAACGUGAUAAAGAGCCUGUUUAUUUGAAUGUGACUACACAGAAACUAGCCACAGAAACUCCAUAAAUGGAAAGUCGAAAAUAGUUAUAUGU
Molecule: long non-coding RNA, 143 nt
Organism: Protopterus annectens (West African lungfish)
Lineage: Eukaryota; Metazoa; Chordata; Ceratodontiformes; Protopteridae
Exons: 2
Source: RefSeq, a predicted model, not a curated record